RNAcentral lists this ribosomal RNA (482 nucleotides) under uncultured bacterium. RNAcentral's name for it is "bacterial SSU rRNA". It matches the Rfam family "Bacterial small subunit ribosomal RNA", at positions 28 to 507 of the family's 1533-position model. The record is from RNAcentral.
GACGAACGCUGGCGGCGUGCCUAACACAUGCAAGUCGAGCGGAGUCGAUCGACGGAAGCCUUCGGGCGGAAGAUGGUUGACUUAGCGGCGGAUGGGUGAGUAACGCGUGGGCAACCUGCCUCGAAGACCGGGAUAACAGCCCGAAGGGGCUGCUAAUACCGGAUGUGGUCAAGGAUCCGCAUGGAUUUUGAUUAAAGGGGAAACCCGUUUCGAGAUGGGCCCGUGUCCUAUCAGCUAGUUGGUGAGGUAAAAGCUCACCAAGGCGACGACGGGUAGCCGGCCUGAGAGGGUGACCGGCCACACCGGAACUGAGACACGGUCCAGACUCCUACGGGGGGCAGCAGUGGGGAAUCUUCCACAAUGGGCGAAAGCCUGAUGGAGCGACGCCGCGUGAGCGAAGAAGGCCUUCGGGUUGUAAAGCUCUGUCUGGAGGGACGAAGGAAGUGACGGUACCUCCGGAGGAAGCCACGGCUAACUACGUG